Molecule: ribosomal RNA, 321 nt
Filed under: Calapnita bohol
Lineage: Eukaryota; Metazoa; Arthropoda; Arachnida; Araneae; Pholcidae
Description: partial 12S ribosomal RNA
Source: RNAcentral
AGAUUAAAUAAUUAAGGUAUUAAUAUUUCAAACCAUUAUAUAAUGGCGGUCACUAUAUAUUAGAGAAACUCGCUUCAUAAUCGUAAACACCCGAUAAUUUUCACUUAAAUUAAUAAGUUUAUAUACCGCCGUUAAGAAUUAUACUUCUAAAUAAUACAAAGCUUAAAUCAAACAAAAAUCAGGUCAAGGUGUAACUAAUAUUUAAGAGAAAGUAAGUUACAUUAAAAACAAUUUAAGGAAUCACAAUAAAAAUUAAACCAAAAAAGAAUUUAUAUGUACAAACUAACUAAAAUUUAGUAUAGAAAUUAAAAAUAGUGAUGC